UUUGUGCAAGGUUUUUAGGUCAAAUUGGUGGAUGGAUCAAGUCAUGGAAAGUUGAAAAAUCAUGUAUAAACCAACUACUUGUAACAUGGGUUGAAAGGGUGUUUUAAUGGUGUAUUUUGAUUGUAAUGGACAUAAACUGAUGUUGAAUGAGUGGUAAGGUAAUUGGAUGGACAAAAAUUAGUAGAGAAAAUGAUCAAAGGAUCCUUAGACUAGGGUUUCUUGAGACAAAAGUUUC
RNAcentral lists this long non-coding RNA (235 nucleotides) under Lathyrus oleraceus (garden pea). RNAcentral describes it as "Pisum sativum (pea) long non-coding RNA (PSAT_LNC024405)". Lineage: Eukaryota; Viridiplantae; Streptophyta; Magnoliopsida; Fabales; Fabaceae. The record is from RNAcentral.